RNAcentral lists this ribosomal RNA (615 nucleotides) under uncultured bacterium. RNAcentral describes it as "bacterial SSU rRNA". It matches the Rfam family "Bacterial small subunit ribosomal RNA", at positions 574 to 1188 of the family's 1533-position model. The record is from RNAcentral.
GGUGGUUUGUCGCGUCGUUUGUGUAAGCCCGCAGCUUAACUGCGGGACUGCAGGCGAUACGGGCAUAACUUGAGUGCUGUAGGGGAGACUGGAAUUCCUGGUGUAGCGGUGGAAUGCGCAGAUAUCAGGAGGAACACCGAUGGCGAAGGCAGGUCUCUGGGCAGUAACUGACGCUGAGGAGCGAAAGCAUGGGUAGCGAACAGGAUUAGAUACCCUGGUAGUCCAUGCCGUAAACGAUGGGCGCUAGGUGUGAGUCCCUUCCACGGGGUUCGUGCCGUAGCUAACGCAUUAAGCGCCCCGCCUGGGGAGUACGGCCGCAAGGCUAAAACUCAAAGGAAUUGACGGGGGCCCGCACAAGCGGCGGAGCAUGUGGAUUAAUUCGAUGCAACGCGAAGAACCUUACCUGGGCUUGACAUACACCAGAUCGCCGUAGAGAUACGGUUUCCCUUUGUGGUUGGUGUACAGGUGGUGCAUGGUUGUCGUCAGCUCGUGUCGUGAGAUGUUGGGUUAAGUCCCGCAACGAGCGCAACCCUUGUCUUAUGUUGCCAGCAAUUCGGUUGGGGACUCGUGAGAGACUGCCGGGGUUAACUCGGAGGAAGGUGGGGAUGACGUCAA